CGUAGACAAUAUAUAUCUCGCUGAAGCCGGAAUAGGUCGGGUUUCAGAGGGACUGGGCGUUCGUCUAGGGUCCCUUGGGACUUGCAGGUAUUGUUAGGCUGUAGCUGGAACAGAUCGGGAUGCUAUUGCCAGCAUCAACAGAACAUGAUCAGCCCCCGAGAUCGUAUGCCUGUGGGUGGCCAGUCGUGAUCGGCCGUCUUCAUUUCAUCCGAGUUAUAAAUCCCGCCGGUGGACAGUGGGGUGCGUCGAAUGCCAAGAGGCCAUGGGGCUAGUGAUAUGUACCCCCAAGUCAGAAUGAUAAUUGGAUGGCUGUUCGACAGGAGGUCGAGCUAAUAGGUCUAGUCCGUGCGCCCUGGCUUCCUAUCAAAGAGAUGCAGAACAUUGCGAUACACCUCCAAGCCUGCGAGUGUACGACCGGUCGUACUGAUAAGUUUAUGUUCAGAAUCAUUAUCUACGAAAGAAUGUUCCUUUUAUUACCCCCAGAAUGCAGCAUACG
Molecule: long non-coding RNA, 496 nt
Organism: Haliotis rubra (blacklip abalone)
Lineage: Eukaryota; Metazoa; Mollusca; Gastropoda; Lepetellida; Haliotidae
Exons: 3
Source: RefSeq, a predicted model, not a curated record